UACGUAGGGGGCAAGCGUUAUCCGGAAUUACUGGGUGUAAAGGGUGAGUAGGCGGCAUGGUAAGCCAGAUGUGAAAGCCUUGGGCUUAACCCGAGGAUUGCAUUUGGAACUAUCAAGCUAGAGUACAGGAGAGGAAAGCGGAAUUCCUAGUGUAGCGGUGAAAUGCGUAGAUAUUAGGAAGAACACCAGUGGCGAAGGCGGCCUGCUGGACGACAACUGACGGUGAGGCGCGAAAGCGUGGGGAGCAAACAGG
RNAcentral lists this ribosomal RNA (253 nucleotides) under uncultured bacterium. Its description in RNAcentral is "partial 16S ribosomal RNA". It matches the Rfam family "Bacterial small subunit ribosomal RNA", at positions 524 to 776 of the family's 1533-position model. The record is from RNAcentral.